AGAGUUGAUCAUGGCUCAGAACGAACGCUGGCGGCAUGGAUUAGGCAUGCAAGUCGAACGAAGCAGCAAUGCUAGUGGCGGAAGGGUGAGGAACGCGUGAGUAAUCUGCCCUCAAGUUGGGAAUAACAGCUGGAAACGGCUGCUAAUACCGAAUGUGGCUGUUGGGUCGCAUGGUCUGACAGUUAAAGAUUUAUUGCUUGAGGAUGAGCUCGCGUCCCAUUAGCUAGUUGGCGGGGCAACGGCCCACCAAGGCGAUGAUGGGUAGCUGGUCUGAGAGGAUGGUCAGCCACACUGGGACUGAGACACUGCCCAGACUCCUACGGGAGGCUGCAGUCGAGAAUCUUGGGCAAUGCGCGAAAGCGUGACCCAGCAAUGCCGCGUGCGUGAUGAAGGUCUUCGGAUUGUAAAGCGCUGUCAACCGGGACGAACUUAUGACGGUACCGGUGAAGGAAGCCACGGCUAACUACGUGCCAGCCGCCGC
RNAcentral lists this ribosomal RNA (481 nucleotides) under uncultured bacterium. Its description in RNAcentral is "bacterial SSU rRNA". It matches the Rfam family "Bacterial small subunit ribosomal RNA", at positions 8 to 518 of the family's 1533-position model. The record is from RNAcentral.